UUCGGUCUGGUGGCGAGUGGCGAACGGGUGAGUAAUGUAUCGGAACGUGCCUAGUAGCGGGGGAUAACUACGCGAAAGCGUAGCUAAUACCGCAUACGCCCUACGGGGGAAAGCAGGGGAUCGCAAGACCUUGCACUAUUAGAGCGGCCGAUAUCGGAUUAGCUAGUUGGUGGGGUAACGGCUCACCAAGGCGACGAUCCGUAGCUGGUUUGAGAGGACGACCAGCCACACUGGGACUGAGACACGGCCCAGACUCCUACGGGAGGCAGCAGUGGGGAAUUUUGGACAAUGGGGGAAACCCUGAUCCAGCCAUCCCGCGUGUGCGAUGAAGGCCUUCGGGUUGUAAAGCACUUUUGGCAGGAAAGAAACGUCAUGGGCUAAUACCCCGUGAAACUGACGGUACCUGCAGAAUAAGCACCGGCUAACUACGUGCCAGCAGCCGCGGUAAUACGUAGGGUGCAAGCGUUAAUCGGAAUUACUGGGCGUAAAGCGUGCGCAGGCGGUUCGGAAAGAAAGAUGUGAAAUCCCAGAGCUUAACUUUGGAACUGCAUUUUUAACUACCGAGCUAGAGUGUGUCAGAGGGAGGUGGAAUUCCGCGUGUAGCAGUGAAAUGCGUAGAUAUGCGGA
RNAcentral lists this ribosomal RNA (627 nucleotides) under uncultured bacterium. Its description in RNAcentral is "bacterial SSU rRNA". It matches the Rfam family "Bacterial small subunit ribosomal RNA", at positions 79 to 702 of the family's 1533-position model. The record is from RNAcentral.